RNA transcript from Odontomachus brunneus, 1207 nucleotides. It is a transcript of the gene named CDC42 small effector protein homolog, with no coding region annotated. NCBI's taxonomy places the organism in Eukaryota, Metazoa, Arthropoda, Insecta, Hymenoptera, Formicidae. The record is from RefSeq and is a predicted model, not a curated record. The transcript has 2 exons.
AUUAGGUGUGACAGCGCGCACGGCAUCGCCUUUGUUCGCCGAAACAAGUCCUCGUCCCGCUUGUGUUUGCGCUCGCAGGGGACGAUGUCCUUCGCAGCUGCGAGUCGCGCGUUAUACCGGAAUGUUUAUCUUGCUCGGCUCGGUCGUUAAGAACGUGCCGAAAGGUUAAGACAAAGUCUAAAGGACGACAUCCGUCGCUCGCAAGCAUUCGCCAGACUCUGCUCCUAACCUAUACGUCGUCGACCGACGCUGGUGCGCUUAAUCUGUCACGGUACCGUUCGCUCGUCACCUGUCACCUGCGUCCUGCAUCUUCCGCGGGAGAAUCGAGAGUACAUCGUGAUAUCGUCGUCAUCCAGACGAUUCUAAAUUGCCGGCUCGGGCGAGCACGGGCACGAGCUGCUUUUGAGGUUAUCUGUUAUCCUGCAAUUUUAACGAUUUGUUUUCGAGGAGUUGAGGGCUCAGGACAUCACAAGAUGGCCGGUAGCAGUGAACUCUGGGUGCAAUGUUUUACGUGCUGUAUGACCCAACGACCGGCGAGGACACGGAACGGCCGGUCGCAGCAGCAUCAGAAGCUCAGGAUAGACAGGAGCAUGAUCGGCGUACCCACGAACUUUCGACACACAGCGCACAUAAGCAGCGGCGACGUGGACAUGUCGAUCGCGCAAUUGGCUAAUCUACAAGCGCAGAUGCAGAGGAAGGGUGGAUAUGACACCAAUAUCGGUGCCAAGGUACGUUUAAACUCUCGUACAGGCACCUGAAUCCUUAAAGCAGAAUCUGAGAAGCAAUCCUGAAAUUUCUCGCCAAUGUAUUCAGCAGACUUCCAGGAUGCUGAGAAUAGUGUUGCGAGUUCACAUAGAUGUGCUCAAGUAUCCUGCAACUGACAUUUAAUUCAAUGGAUGGAUGGAGGAAGGGGAGGAAGGAAGAAAUGUGGAGCAAGAGAGCUUUACAACCCAAUCAACGAUGACUGACUCUUUCUAUUCUCUUUCUUUUUUUUUUUUAUACUGAUGUUCCUUGCUCGGCGAGAAUGGGCAACGAGUGAACACCAUGUCCACGCGCUAGAUUGCAUUUACACGGUGAUCGAUUAGAGAGCUAAGACCAAUAUAUGUACAUUAGACGAAUGUCCGAAUUUCUUUUCGGAAAAGAAGCUGCCAGACGUAAUUAUAUACUAUUGUAUCGCGACGUACAAAAUAUUACAAAUAAUCGUUCA